RNAcentral lists this ribosomal RNA (476 nucleotides) under uncultured bacterium. Its description in RNAcentral is "bacterial SSU rRNA". It matches the Rfam family "Bacterial small subunit ribosomal RNA", at positions 26 to 507 of the family's 1533-position model. The record is from RNAcentral.
GUGGCUCGAGGACGAACGCUGGCGGCGUGCUUAACACAUGCAAGUCGAACGAUGAACCAGGGCUUGCCCUGGGAAUUAGUGGCGAACGGGUGAGUAACACGUGGGCAACCUGCCCCAGACACCGGGAUAACCAUCCGAAAGGAUGGCUAGUACCGGAUAUGACCACUUUGGGCAUCCAACGGUGGUGGAAAGGAUUCUGGUCUGGGAUGGGCCCGCGGCCUAUCAGCUAGUUGGUGGGGUAAUGGCCUACCAAGGCGACGACGGGUAGCCGGCCUGAGAGGGCGACCGGCCACACUGGGACUGAGACACGGCCCAGACUCCUACGGGAGGCAGCAGAGGGGAAUAUUGCGCAAUGGGCGAAAGCCUGACGCAGCGACGCCGCGUGAGGGACGAAGGUCUUCGGAUUGUAAACCUCUUUCAGCAGGGACGAAGCGAAAGUGACUGUACCUGCAGAAGAAGCACCGGCUAACUACGUG